GGUUAAGUGACUAAGCGUACACGGUGGAUGCCUUGGCAGUCAGAGGCGAUGAAGGACGUAUUAACUUGCGAUAAGCCCAGAUUAGGUAGUAAAAACCUUUUGAGUCUGGGAUUUCCGAAUGGGGAAACCCACUUACAUAAGUAAGUAUCUUGUUGUGAAUACAUAGCAACAAGAGGCAAACCGGGGGAACUGAAACAUCUAAGUACCCCGAGGAAGAGAAAUCAACCGAGAUUCCGAAAGUAGCGGCGAGCGAAAUUGGAUUAGCCCUUAAGCUUUUAAUGAUGCAGGUGAAGAGUCUGGAAAGUCUCGCAAUAAAGGGUGAUAGCCCCGUAACCGACACAUCAUAAUCAGUGAAAUCGAGUAGGGCGGGACACGUGAUAUCCUGUCUGAAUAUGGGGGGACCAUCCUCCAAGGCUAAAUACUACUGACUGACCGAUAGUGAACCAGUACCGUGAGGGAAAGGCGAAAAGAACCCCUGUGAGGGGAGUGAAAUAGAACCUGAAACCGUGUACGUACAAGCAGUAGGAGCACCUUCGUGGUGUGACUGCGUACCUUUUGUAUAAUGGGUCAGCGACUUAUAUUCAGUGGCAAGGUUAACCGUUUAGGGGAGCCGUAGGGAAACCGAGUCUUAACUGGGCGUUCAGUCUCUGGAUAUAGACCCGAAACCAGGUGAUCUAGCCAUGGGCAGGUUGAAGGUUGAGUAACAUCAACUGGAGGACCGAACCGACUAAUGUUGAAAAAUUAGCGGAUGACUUGUGGCUAGGGGUGAAAGGCCAAUCAAACCUGGAGAUAGCUGGUUCUCCCCGAAAGCUAUUUAGGUAGCGCCUCGGACGAAUACUACUGGGGGUAGAGCACUGUUAAGGCUAGGGGGUCAUCCCGACUUACCAACCCUUUGCAAACUCCGAAUACCAGUAAGUACUAUCCGGGAGACACACGGCGGGUGCUAACGUCCGUCGUGGAGAGGGAAACAACCCAGACCGCCAGCUAAGGUCCCAAAGUAUAGCUAAGUGGGAAACGAUGUGGGAAGGCUCAGACAGCCAGGAUGUUGGCUUAGAAGCAGCCAUCAUUUAAAGAAAGCGUAAUAGCUCACUGGUCGAGUCGGCCUGCGCGGAAGAUGUAACGGGGCUAAGCUAUACACCGAAGCUGCGGCUGCACACUUUAGUGUGCGGGGUAGGGGAGCGUUCUGUAAGCCGUUGAAGGUGGUCUGUAAGGGCUGCUGGAGGUAUCAGAAGUGCGAAUGCUGACAUGAGUAACGAUAAAGGGAGUGAAAAACUCCCUCGCCGGAAGACCAAGGGUUCCUGUCCAACGUUAAUCGGGGCAGGGUAAGUCGACCCCUAAGGCGAGGCCGAAAGGCGUAGUCGAUGGGAAACGGGUUAAUAUUCCCGUACUUCUUACAAUUGCGAUGGGGGGACGGAGAAGGCUAGGUGGGCCUGGCGACGGUUGUCCAGGUUCAAGUACGUAGGCGGAAGAAUUAGGUAAAUCCGGUUCUUCUUAACGCUGAGAUACGAUGUCGAGCCACUACGGUGGUGAAGUCAUUGAUGCCAUGCUUCCAGGAAAAGCCUCUAAGCUUCAGAUUGUAAGGAAUCGUACCCCAAACCGACACAGGUGGUCGGGUAGAGAAUACCAAGGCGCUUGAGAGAACUCGGGUGAAGGAACUAGGCA
RNAcentral lists this ribosomal RNA (1662 nucleotides) under Vibrio sp. D449a. Its description in RNAcentral is "partial 23S ribosomal RNA". It matches the Rfam family "Bacterial large subunit ribosomal RNA", at positions 1 to 1719 of the family's 2925-position model. Lineage: Bacteria; Pseudomonadati; Pseudomonadota; Gammaproteobacteria; Vibrionales; Vibrionaceae. The record is from RNAcentral.